UGAAAUGAGAAUUAGACAGGAGUAAACUUAGGCUGUGAGUUUGUACUUAUUUGAAUCUUAUUGAAUUGUGAAACUAUAGGUCUAUUUGGUACGUGCGGAAAAAAGCCAAAUAAGAUUGUUUCAGAAGUAGGUGGAUUAUUGUAACUAGAAAAAGGUUACUAAAUUGUUUUAAGUCCAUUUGAAUGGCAUGCUGUGCAUUUGUGCUUUGAGAUGCUUAUGAACUAGUUCUAACAUGC
RNAcentral lists this long non-coding RNA (236 nucleotides) under Nicotiana benthamiana. Its description in RNAcentral is "long non-coding RNA (NBEN_LNC002381)". Lineage: Eukaryota; Viridiplantae; Streptophyta; Magnoliopsida; Solanales; Solanaceae. The record is from RNAcentral.